UACGAAGGGGGCUAGCGUUGCUCGGAAUGACUGGGCGUAAAGGGCGCGUAGGCGGUUUGUACAGUCAGGUGUGAAAUUCCCGGGCUCAACCUGGGGGCUGCACUUGAUACGUAUGGACUGGAGUGGGGAAGAGGGUCGUGGAAUUCCCAGUGUAGAGGUGAAAUUCGUAGAUAUUGGGAAGAACACCGGUGGCGAAGGCGGCGACCUGGUCCGGUUCUGACGCUGAGGCACGAAAGCGUGGGGAGCAAACAGGG
This 254-nucleotide ribosomal RNA is filed under the name uncultured bacterium. Its description in RNAcentral is "partial 16S ribosomal RNA". It matches the Rfam family "Bacterial small subunit ribosomal RNA", at positions 524 to 777 of the family's 1533-position model. The record is from RNAcentral.